This is a non-coding RNA of Pelobates cultripes (western spadefoot toad), 271 nucleotides long. The record is from the annotation of a GenBank genome assembly. NCBI's taxonomy places the organism in Eukaryota, Metazoa, Chordata, Amphibia, Anura, Pelobatidae.
CUGGAAUGCAGUAAGAAUGAGAGUCUCCAACUUCGCAGACACUUGGACAAUCUACAGACACGCCUGAAACAGUCACUAAAGGAGUGUCUGGAGUGGGUGAGAACCAGGCAGAGUAUGGUGUCGUUAAUGUACUCUGUGUGGGUAAUGUACUCGGCAGUAGGUAGAGUAUAGGGCUGGUAAUGUACUCGGCCGUAGGUAGAGUAUAGGGUGGGUAAUGUACUCGGCAGUGGGUAGAGUAUUUGGUGGGUAAUGCACUCGGCCGUAGGUAGGC